RNAcentral lists this ribosomal RNA (357 nucleotides) under Triticum aestivum (bread wheat). RNAcentral's name for it is "partial small subunit ribosomal RNA". The record is from RNAcentral. Lineage: Eukaryota; Viridiplantae; Streptophyta; Magnoliopsida; Poales; Poaceae.
AUGCGCUGUGCACUCAGAUUUGCUACCGCUGAAUGGAUAAAAUCCGGAGAGCGAGCGGAGGUUUCAAAAAAAAAAAAAAAACUGGACCAAAUCAACCUACGUGCAACAUUUCAGAACUCCCAUUGGGGUGUUCAAUUUUCCAACAAAAAAAUACUACUGUAUGAAGUUCCUUUGAAUCAAAGGAGCCCAUUAGAAUUCUUUUGCUUUUCUUGUGCUAUCAAACACCCGAACCCUGCACACUUUCUAUUCUUACAUUUUGAGAAUCCUUCAAAUCAAACAAGACUCACAAACAUUCUAAAAAUGCAAGAAUUACAAGAAAAUAUUAGGGUUGCAAUGUCAUGUCCAUUGGAAUUCUAA